RNAcentral lists this long non-coding RNA (312 nucleotides) under Carica papaya (papaya). Its description in RNAcentral is "long non-coding RNA (CPAP_LNC016663)". The record is from RNAcentral. Lineage: Eukaryota; Viridiplantae; Streptophyta; Magnoliopsida; Brassicales; Caricaceae.
CUUCCCAAGGGCUGGGUCUUUUUCUCCGGUGAGGUAUCCAGUGGCUAGGGUUAGGGUUUGGUGUGAAGAGGGUUAUUUACACCCGUCCCCUUUUAAUAUGGGCUGUUCAUCGUAUUUAAUCUGGGCCAUCCGAUCACGAUUAAAUAAGAAGUAGAUCUGGACUGUUGAUCUCAUUUAAUUAUGACCAUUUGAUCGCGUUUGGGUAGUGCACCAAUAUGAGCCGUCCAUGCGCACAGGAGCGGAUCUGAACCAUCCGAUCGUAGGCACGUAGAUCGCCCGUGUGGCACCGCAUUAGCGUCCUUUGCCACGCGG